RNAcentral lists this long non-coding RNA (967 nucleotides) under Ursus maritimus (polar bear). RNAcentral describes it as "lncRNA (ENSUMAG00000008766.1)". Lineage: Eukaryota; Metazoa; Chordata; Mammalia; Carnivora; Ursidae. The record is from RNAcentral.
AGCAGAGGCCUCCAAACAAUGCUUUGGCCGGAAGAAUUAACGCAAACGAGGUCAGCGUAAGAACCAGACGCUGGGCCGAGAUCAGCCACGGCGAGGGGACAUAUAACUCAAGAAAUCUCAUACAACUGACAGAAUCUCAACCCUGGAAAUCUGCAUUUUCAAUCAGUAAGACACCAGCCAUGCAGGACACAGGUAAAUAGGGAAGAUCGACCCCCUUUUAAGCUUUCCAAGCAGUGUCCCUUCCUGCCAAAUCAGUUCAAAAAGGAGGAGGCAGCGAAGGGACCAGGGCUACCCUGUUAUCAUUUUGUGAUUCCUUUAUGAUUCUUCUAACAGAGCGGCUGCAUUGUUUAGGAAUCCAUUAACAGUUCAGAAAGAAAGUGGAAAACUGAGAGUCGGGAAUGGCUUUCUGCCUACACCUGUUUGUUCCCGCGUGUCUGGAAAUCAGAAAGAUGGGAUUCGCAAGAGCAGGGCUCGCUUCCUGACCUCGAGCCUGGACACAGGCGUUCAGCAUCGUGGCCCUGACUUCCUUUAUGGAAAGUUCCUACUCGUCUCCAGGACCUGAGAGGACAAGCCUGGAGCGGUUGGCAGCCCAGGGCAUGUGAAGUCUGAGGAGAAGUGAGUCCACAUGAAGAAAAGGAGAGCCAAGGGGAGGACAGACCCAGGGCCUUCACAGGCUCGAGCCCUGGAACAAGUUGGUCCCAAAGCUGAUCGUGCCCAGGUUUUUUCAGACAUCAGACAAUAAGUCCCUUUUUUGUUUAACAUUCUGUGACUGAGGGGCGCCUGGGUGGCUCAGUUGUUAAGCGUCUGCCUUCGGCUCAGGGCGUGAUCCCGGAGUCCUGGGAUCGAGCCCCACAUCAGGCUCCUCUGCUGGGAGGCUGCUUCUUCCUCCCUCACUCCCCCUGCUUGUGUUCCCCCUCUCGCUGGCUGUCUCUAUCUCUGUUGAAUAAAUUAAACAAACAAACAAACA